This 384-nucleotide long non-coding RNA is filed under the name Phoenix dactylifera (date palm). Its description in RNAcentral is "long non-coding RNA (PDAC_LNC013767)". Lineage: Eukaryota; Viridiplantae; Streptophyta; Magnoliopsida; Arecales; Arecaceae. The record is from RNAcentral.
GAUGGCGAGGCGGCGGAGAUGACGCAAGGUCUUCGAGAGCAAAGCAGAGGGGAGAGGACCGAAGGGGAUGCCAGGUGACGAAGCGCCAUCCGAACCAGAAGAAACGCCUACAAGAUGUUUGUUGAAAGUCCAAUGCAGAAAAAGCAAUAUGGGGCGACUUGGUGGAUGUUCCAGAAAAUGCAUUGCGUAUGCUCGUACAUAUUUUUGGUGUGACAGAAGACAGCUGAAACCAUUACAACAAUCAUUGUGAUGUUAUUACCGUUGUUUUAUUUUAAAAUAUUUAAUAAAUAGUGAGGGCAAUGGCUUGGCGAAGCCAUAGGCAUGUCAAAAGCCAUACGGCACCGCAGAAUUUCUCCAAAGCUAACUUCGAUAGCUAUGCAUCGG